Molecule: ribosomal RNA, 681 nt
Filed under: Triticum aestivum (bread wheat)
Lineage: Eukaryota; Viridiplantae; Streptophyta; Magnoliopsida; Poales; Poaceae
Description: partial small subunit ribosomal RNA
Source: RNAcentral
AUGGAGGAUCUCCCGGAGGCACUGCUGGCAGAGAUCAUCAAGAGGGUUACCAAAAGAAGUGACUUGAAUUCUCUUUCCCUUGUCUCGAAGCGUCUCUUCGCCAUCCAGGCUGAGCAAAAGGGGUCCAUCCGGGUUGGUUGUGGCCUUUGCCUUGCCACUGAAGCUUUGGUGUCACUCUUCUCCCGGUUCCCCAAUUUGUGGAAAGUUGAGAUCGAUUAUGCUGGCUGGACACCUUCCCACGGGGAUCAGUUGGACAACCAUGACCUCUUUGUGAUUAUAUCUUGCUGUCCCUCUCUAACCGAUCUCACACUAAGUUUCUGUUCACAAAUCGAUGACACCGGUCUUGGUUAUCUAUGCUACAGCGAGAAAUUGACUUCCCUCAGGCUGAACUCUGCAACUGAAAUAACUUCUUGUGGACUUCUCUCGGUUGCAGUUGGUUGCAAGAGUCUGUCUUCCCUCCACCUUAUCAACUGUGAGAAAGUAGGCAGUACCGAGUGGCUGGAGUAUCUAGGCUUGAAUGGAUCAUUGGAAGAAUUUGUACUCAAGAAUUGCAAUGGAAUCAGCCUGUAUGACCUCAUAAUGCUUGGUCCAGGAUGGAUGAAGCUACGCAAGUUUGAAUUUCGAAUGGGAGGAUUAUGGGAUGUUCAUGAGGGAUAUGAUCAUAUGGAAAUCGAUGGUUAG